GACUGCUCAGCAGACCUGGAGUUUGAAUUCUUUCUUUGUCUCUGUAGUCGUCUUUUGCAGGAGAUCUUACAGAGCUUAGGGCUCUCUUUCUUGCAGGGUGCUUACCUUUUCUGUGCUUUAAUUUUGAAAGUGUUCCCAUGCAGACAUCUGAGAUAAAUAUGAAGCACAAAGUAAACUUUUCCUGCCUUGGAGGGUCAGCCCCAGGCACCGUCCGUGUGCUGUGACUGAACACAGUUGCUUCACAUGAUUUUGUCAAGUUUUUGUUAUUUACAGAAGGAGUUCAUGGCCGAUGCCCAUCUGAACACUUUAUAGCCAAGGCUGAAUGUUGCUUAUUGCUUUCCCUGACUGUCACAUUAUUCAGACUUCACUGUAAUGUGGCUUUCUAUGGACACUGGACCUGCAGCAUCAUGAGUGCCCCAGGCGUAUCUCAGGCACUGUUUGCUCUCUUCAUAGCCUCUACUGCUUUGCACGGGUACAGAUUCAGCUCCUCUGCCCCACAGAGGAUGUACAUUAGAAGCAUGAUUCUGGAAGCAGAAGGCAACUGAACCUUCCAAAGCCUGCUGUUGGACUUCUCAACCUUCAGAAGCACAGUUCCUCUCCAGCUCCCAGCAGGACAUCACCAUGAACAAACAUAGAGGACUUCAUGAAGAUGAAUCCUGAUGAAAAGUACUAUUGGAGAAGGAGUUUUGCCGUCAGAGUUCCAAUGCCAGCCCAAAUAGUUGGGCUUAUUUAAUAGAAUUGCAGGUUGUUUUCCUCUCUGAAUUCACAAGAUCAUCAGGAAUGAGGAAGAUGGUGCUGACACUCCAAGGGGAGAGCAGAAGAAAUCAAAGUACAUGAAUAAUCAAAUCAGAAGUCAUCUUGAAUUAGUGCUAAAUUCAAACCAUUAUGAUGUUCAGUACUGGAAUAUAAUCCCAACGACUAUGGCAAUACUGAUGGCAAAAGAGACAUGAUGUUUUGGGAAAAUCACCUUCACUUGCAGGGCAACACUUACCCACACGUGCUUCUCUCCUAACUCAUCACCCCCUUUGCCUCAGACGUAUCUUUUUCUAGUCUUCCUAACUAGUGUUAGUUAUGAACCAGUAGUAGUCAGCCUCAGAGAACAGUUAGUCUGCCUGGGCGAAGACAGGCUCAGUGAAAGGAAUACAUAUGCAAGGAAUACUUUUAGUGCUUGAAAUAUUCCCGAGGGUGUCUACAUACAUCCAGGCAAUAGAAGUACCUUGGCCCCUCAGAGACAAAGUAAGUCCAAGCAGAGCUCAGGGCCCCUUCAUACCUGAGCAGCCAGUCCUUGAGGCACAGGGGCUCAGUCUCCUGGAUUGCCCCCUGGAGCACCUGAAUUUCAACCAACAAGACAGGCCCACUGGGCAGGUGCUCUGACCUCCCACUGAUGCUUCACUAUCACUUAGAAUCAUCAUAAGGCAAAACGUGGAAGGCAAAGAAGGAGGAAGGCUGGUUAAAGACAAAUGGUUGUAAAAUAAAUAACGGAAUGGAGCUUGGCACAGGAUGUGAUGGUUUUUGAGCACCAAGGUUCCCAUGUUCAGCUAGAGUGGAAUAUUUAUUGUCUGUUGGCAACUAGAUUUAGGGUUGCAGGUCAUUUGAGUUUUUAGAAAUGAGAGUUUCAUAAUUUUAUGUUGAAUCUGUUAUUAAAUGGCAACAAUAUUAUGAAGACACUCUUGUGGCACAAAUACAAGAUACAUUUGAAGUAUUAGGCUGCACCUUGAGUUUUAGAAUUCAGACAUGUUUAUAACAUAGAUGUUUCUGGCUCUCCACUUCCUAAAAACAUACACUUGCUAGCAGCAAGUGCCUGGACUUUAGGAGUGCCUGGAGAGCAGAGGCUCCUCUUUCCUUUCGCAAAGGGAAAGCCAAACCCUAGUGUCAAAAUUUCAUAUCCUAGUCCUCUUCUCUUGAGCUUCUGACAAACAGUCAGGCUUCCUGAGAGCAAAGGCUACAUUAGCUUUCUUAAACAAUCUGACGAAAGUCUUUCUCAUCUCUGAGACAAUGGGUACCAAAGAAUUCUGCCAUAAAAUCAACAACUAUCAGAAACAGAGCCUGACAGGUGCUAGUGGUCAGAGAUUGCCAGCCUUCCAAUCGAUCGCAAGUGACCUCUCAACUGUUUAAUGACCUUAAUAUUUUACAAAACUUUUUUAUGUACAGCAUUUCAUUAGCUUCUUUUGAAGAAGAAAUAUUAUCUCUCUAUUACAAGUAAAUAAAGUGACACUCACAAAAGUGAACUAUCAAGCGAGUUUAUGAAGCUGGAAAGAAGUGACUUGUGGGUUGUGAUCUCCAGCCCAUGGAGUUUUUCAUCAAAUAAUCCAUUAUUGUCUGCAGGGCCACACAUGUAGUCUAGCUCUGUUUCACUAAAUUCCCACAAAACCUUGCAAAGGAAAAUCAUUCGUGGUAUAAUCUAAUUUAAAUGGCAACAUUUUUCAUAGCCAAAGUACUAUUUGUGACAGUGCUUACCAUAUGUCUCCAGUCAUAAUUGUAAAACUCAAAACUAAGGUAUUA
This is a long non-coding RNA of Chinchilla lanigera (long-tailed chinchilla), 2502 nucleotides long. RefSeq lists it as uncharacterized. The record is from RefSeq and is a predicted model, not a curated record. The transcript is spliced from 5 exons. Lineage: Eukaryota; Metazoa; Chordata; Mammalia; Rodentia; Chinchillidae.